Molecule: long non-coding RNA, 807 nt
Filed under: Homo sapiens (human)
Lineage: Eukaryota; Metazoa; Chordata; Mammalia; Primates; Hominidae
Description: HSALNT0019607
Source: RNAcentral
ACUUGCAGUAAGUUAAAUUCUGUAAACUGAAAAACAGUUCAUUGCAAAUGAGACCAGUUCAUUUUCAUUUGACCAUUGCUUAAUCCUUAUCUUGUACUUCAUAAAGUGAAACCAUUCACCAUUUUUACUAUACAUGUGAACACUAUUCAGACCUCCUCCUAUAAAAUUGUCCACAUAAUUUCUGUAACAAUAAAGAACAUAUAUUCAAAAUUCAAUAUCUCCCUCUAAAUACACAAAUUAGUAAUAUAUUUCACAUCAAUUUUAAGACUCAAGACGAACGCUUCCCAGUUAGUUGCUCAAUCUUUCACACCCUCCCCCUCCCUUCUUCCACAAGCAACACACGUGCAUACACUUCUGUGAAACAGCCUCAGCUCGCUUCCCAACUGGCAGAAGCAUCCCUCAGGGGACAAGUCUUUAAACCUCCGCACUCUUUAAAAUUCAACCAGCCAGCAGGUCUAUAGACUAGUGUAUAAACAGUAUAGACAAAAAAAAAAAAAAAUCCUCUCUCAGCUUAUGUCAGUGACAAAGCAGCUCAGCAGUUGACUGUUUCUCCCCUGACAGUAUAAACUGGGUUUACACAGAUCAAUAGCUGGAAGUCCUACCUAGCUCCCAGGGCUUGGUUUUCUUCCUUAAUUACAGGUGCUAUUGAAACUGAAGUGUAAAAAGAAAAGAGAGAGACUUGGAAGGAGGCAUAAAAUGCAUGCAAAUAGCUUUUAUGGAUCCUCUUAGCAAUAGUAUUAAUUGAAAAUUAUACUUCCACAUUUAUUACAAAAGUGUGUGUGAAGGCUGGUAUUUUCACUACACAGU